UCAGAGUUGUAAUAUAUUGAU
RNAcentral lists this microRNA (21 nucleotides) under Fragaria vesca subsp. vesca. Its description in RNAcentral is "fve-miR11301". The record is from miRBase by way of RNAcentral. Lineage: Eukaryota; Viridiplantae; Streptophyta; Magnoliopsida; Rosales; Rosaceae.